UGGUCCUGAAGUCAGACAUGCUGCUGACC
Molecule: non-coding RNA, 29 nt
Filed under: Homo sapiens (human)
Lineage: Eukaryota; Metazoa; Chordata; Mammalia; Primates; Hominidae
Source: RNAcentral